This 468-nucleotide ribosomal RNA is filed under the name uncultured bacterium. RNAcentral's name for it is "partial 16S ribosomal RNA". It matches the Rfam family "Bacterial small subunit ribosomal RNA", at positions 28 to 507 of the family's 1533-position model. The record is from RNAcentral.
GACGAACGCUGGCGGCGUGCUUAACACAUGCAAGUCGAACGGAAAGGCCCUGCUUUUGUGGGGUGCUCGAGUGGCGAACGGGUGAGUAACACGUGAGUAACCUGCCCUUGACUUUGGGAUAACUUCAGGAAACUGGGGCUAAUACCGGAUAGGAGCUCCUGCUGCAUGGUGGGGGUUGGAAAGUUUCGGCGGUUGGGGAUGGACUCGCGGCUUAUCAGCUUGUUGGUGGGGUAGUGGCUUACCAAGGCUUUGACGGGUAGCCGGCCUGAGAGGGUGACCGGCCAAAUUGGGACUGAGAUACGGCCCAGACUCCUACGGGAGGCAGCAGUGGGGAAUAUUGCACAAUGGGCGGAAGCCUGAUGCAGAAACGCCGCGUGCGGGAUGAAGGCCUUCGGGUUGUAAACCGAUUUCGCAUGUGACGAAGCGUGAGUGACGGUAAUGGGUAAAGAAGCACCGGCUAACUACGUG